Molecule: ribosomal RNA, 492 nt
Filed under: uncultured bacterium
Lineage: Bacteria
Description: partial 16S ribosomal RNA
Rfam family: Bacterial small subunit ribosomal RNA
Source: RNAcentral
AGUGAACGCUGGCGGUAGGCCUAACACAUGCAAGUCGAACGGCAGCACAGUAAGAGCUUGCUCUUACGGGUGGCGAGUGGCGGACGGGUGAGGAAUACAUCGGAAUCUACUUUUUCGUGGGGGAUAACGUAGGGAAACUUACGCUAAUACCGCAUACGACCUACGGGUGAAAGCAGGGGAUCUUCGGACCUUGCGCGAUUGAAUGAGCCGAUGUCGGCUUAGCUAGUUGGCGGGGUAAAGGCCCACCAAGGCGACGAUCCGUAGCUGGUCUGAGAGGAUGAUCCGCCACACUGGAACUGAGACACGGUCCAGACUCCUACGGGAGGCAGCAGUGGGGAAUAUUGGACAAUGGGCGCAAGCCUGAUCCAGCCAUACCGCGUGGGUGAAGAAGGCCUUCGGGUGGUAAAGCCCUUUUGUUGGGAAAGAAAAGCAGCAGGUUAAUACCCCGCUGUUCUGACGGUACCCAAAGAAUAAGCACCGGCUAACUUCGUG